UACGAAGGGUGCAAGCGUUAAUCGGAAUUACUGGGCGUAAAGGGUGCGUAGGCGGUUGUUUAAGUCUGUUGUGAAAGCCCCGGGCUCAACCUGGGAAUGGCAAUGGAUACUGGCAAGCUAGAGUGCGGUAGAGGGUAGUGGAAUUCCCGGUGUAGCGGUGAAAUGCGUAGAGAUCGGGAGGAACACCAGUGGCGAAGGCGGCUACCUGGACCAGCACUGACACUGAGGCACGAAAGCGUGGGGAGCAAACAGG
This 253-nucleotide ribosomal RNA is filed under the name uncultured bacterium. RNAcentral's name for it is "partial 16S ribosomal RNA". It matches the Rfam family "Bacterial small subunit ribosomal RNA", at positions 524 to 776 of the family's 1533-position model. The record is from RNAcentral.